UUUUAUUUUUCUAGCCUGAUUAUCAAAAAAAAAAUCAAACCAUCUUUGUUUGCCUUUUCCCAGUUUGAAAUUCAGGCUGUCUGAAUUGCUCUUGAAUGCACAAUAGUGGGCCUGGGUACUAAGUGAGAAGCUGCAAGUUUUGUUUCUUCUGUUGGCCUGGAUGUAAUUCUAGAAGGAAUUGCCACUAAUUUUAGAGUGAGCCACAUAAUAGAUCCUUUGAGAGAAGCAGUGGAGGUGCUGUGGAAGGUCAUUGACUCAGUUUCUGAACAUGCCAAGAGGAUGCAGGCAAAUGGUGGUGUGAAUUCAUGCAAGUCAAAAACACCUGAUAACAAGACACAAGAGGGCAGCUUAAAAACAGGAGGAAGCAGCAAGAUUCUGACACUUCCUGCAGAAAGCCAUAGGGAAGGCUUUGCAGAGCAAUCCUCUUUACAUCAGAACUCAACUACUCAUCAGUAUGGAAGGUGCAAAGAAGAAAGGGUCUGACUUUGAUCUGACAGCAACAGGAGAGCAAGCCUGGAUGGAGUCUUAAGUAUUGAACAAUGAGAAGACCCAAGAAAUUAGACCAAUUAAGACAACUUAGUUCUAGACUUUUACACAGUACUCAUCAAUCCUGCCUCAUCUGACACACGUGCUAAGGUAAUUUUUCACUUGCAUUAAUAUAAAAUUAGAUGAGUAAAUCAGUAGUACAUAUGUUGUUUAGACUAGUUACCA
RNAcentral lists this long non-coding RNA (711 nucleotides) under Ficedula albicollis (Collared flycatcher). RNAcentral describes it as "lncRNA (ENSFALG00000020485.2)". Lineage: Eukaryota; Metazoa; Chordata; Aves; Passeriformes; Muscicapidae. The record is from RNAcentral.